GAAUACGUUCCCGGGCCUUGUACACACCGCCCGUCACACCACGAAAGUUUGUUGUACCCGAAGUCGGUGCCUUAACCUCGCAAGAGGAGAGAGCCGCCCAAGGUAUGGCCGAUGAUUGGGGUGAAGUCGUAACAAGGUAGCCGUAGGGGAACCUGCGGCUGGAUCACCUCCUUUCUAGGAGAGAAGGGUCCUGGAUGAAGCGCUCCUAUUUAGUCUUGUGAAGGAUCCGAGUGGAAGCCGGGACCGGAGAAAGACCGGGCCUGUAGCUCAGAUGGUGAGAGCGCACGCCUGAUAAGCGUGAGGUCGAUAGUUCGAAUCUAUCCAGGCCCACCAUCUGCGGGGAUGUAGCUCAGUUGGGAGAGCGCCUGCUUUGCAAGCAGGAGGUCAGCGGUUCGAUCCCGCUCAUCUCCACCACGG
RNAcentral lists this ribosomal RNA (417 nucleotides) under uncultured bacterium. RNAcentral's name for it is "partial 16S ribosomal RNA". The stretch from base 1 to 174 matches the Rfam family "Bacterial small subunit ribosomal RNA", at positions 1364 to 1533 of the family's 1533-position model. The record is from RNAcentral.